Non-coding RNA from Zootoca vivipara (common lizard), 10184 nucleotides. Lineage: Eukaryota; Metazoa; Chordata; Lepidosauria; Squamata; Lacertidae. The record is from RefSeq and is a predicted model, not a curated record.
GUGAGCGGCCAGCCAUAAAUAAGGUCUCACUCGCUUUAUUUGCUUGUUUGUUUAUUUCCCGCCUUGUUCCCUGACAGGGAUUCCAGGCGGCUUAAUUGCGGGAGAAGUGGCGCCAAGGAGUGACUUUUUGAAUUCCCGCGGCUUCUGAGUACAGUAGUACCGGUAGUAACCUGGUGGUGAUGGUGAUGACCUGGCAUCCCCAAACUGCGACCCUCCAGAUGUUUUGGCCUACAACUCCCAUGAUCCCUAGCUAACAGGACCAGUGGUCGGGGGAGAUGGGAAUUGUAGUCAAAAACAUCUGGAGGGCCAAAGUUUGGGGGUGCCUGGUGAUGACAGUGGGUUAGAUCAGGCAUCCCCAAACUCGGCCUCCCAGAUGUUUUGGGACUACAAUUCCCAUCAUCCCUGACCACUGGUCCUGUUACCUAGGGAUGAUGGGAGUUGUAGUCCCAAAACAUCUGGAAGGCCAAAUUUGGGGGUGCCUGGGUUAGAUCUAACAGUUCACUGUUUCCCACCAAACUUAGAACAAUAACAUGACGCUUUGGAGAGCAUAAUAUUUACUGCUGUAAAGAUCUUCACAAGUGGAGAUAUAUAGGGGGCAGGCGUUAAUAAUACUGUUCUAUCUUUGAAUUGUUUUCUGCAGCCAAAAAAACAUCACAAUGAAGGGGGGUCAUGCACCCAUUGAUACCCCCAGGGGUAUGUAUAUCACACUUUGGGAAAUCCUGUUCCUGUGUUAGUUGAACUUCAAGUCCCACUGAAAUAGAUGGGACAUGUUAGUCACAACUAAGUCUCAUGUACUUUAGUGGGGUUCCAAGUUCAGCUAAUUUAGCCUGGAUUUUAGUACAUAAUUAUGAGGUUCUGUCACACUUUUGCUAGCUAACAGUGGGGUGAAAUGCAAGGGGUGGUGCCCCCCCCCAGUAAAGUAAGGUAAAGCUGCUGUAUGGUAGACUAUUCGUGUUGUUGGCAUUUGUCUAUCUCAGGAUACAAUGGAAGAGUGUGUCUUUGGGGGUAAAGUCAAACUUUUGGAGAGUUGCAGCACCUGCUGUGGCUGUAGAGACUGAUAUGGAACAGGCAUGUUUUGUUGCAGAUUAGGCUGCCUCAUGCUACGAACAUGAGUUUGACCAAACUACGGGAGGCAGUGCAAGACAGGAGUGCCUGGCGUGCUAUGGUCCAUGGGGUCACGAAGAGUCGGACACGACUAAACGACUAAACAACAACAACAGGCUGUCUGGUUUUGCUGCUCCAAGUGCACUGUGGUGUUUCUUUUCUCUGUGCUCCUCCUAGUGGAUAUUCCUCCAUUGCUCACUGGUGUGGAUGCACCUGACUGUCCAUCUCCAGACACCGUGAUUGUCUGCAAAGGAUUCCCAUAUGAUGGGGUUAAUGUUGCCAGCCUUCAUGUCACGUUUGCAGGCAUCUGUAAUUUAGAGUUGGUCUGCCAACAGGCCUGUUGCCUGAAGGCAGCUCUCCAUAGAACACAUCCUUGGGGAUUCUCCCAUCUUCCAUUCUGUGUACAUGAGCAAGCCAGCAUAGAUGCCACAGAGACAGAAGUGCAAACAUGUUGGGAAUGUGAGCUUGGGAGAAAACAUCUUUGUUUGAGACUCUGCCCUGCUAUGUGGUGCCCAAAACCUUCCUGAUGCAGCACAUAUGGAAGGCAUUGAGGCGUCGCUCCUGGUGGGUGGCUAACCAUGACUCACUUCCAUAACAGAGGAUGUUGGUCUUUGUAAGGCUGAUGGUGAGGUCGAACUCCAUGUAGGCUUGGGGUUGAUGAGUAGGCUUGGGGUUGGUGAUUCUCUGUAGAGUUUCCUUGGAGUGCGCUGUCAAGGUUGCGUUAUCUACAAACCACAUCUUGUGGAUAAGAACCCGUUGCAUUUUUUGUCUUGGCAUGGAGAUGUGCCAGGUUGAACAGACCCCUGCCACUUCUUGAAUGGAAAUACACACCAUUUUCAGUCAAGAUGAAGGCAUAUGAGAGCAACAGAAAGAAGGCUAUGCCAAAGAGAGUUGGGGUGUCUACACCUUGGGACAACAUUUCAUACAUUUGAUGAAAUUGAAUGUAGCCCAAGAAAUAAAUUCGUUAGUCUUUAAGGUGCCUCAAGACUCUUUGUUGUACAUGAUGAUUAGUUUCAGGAAAACCAAAAUUAUAGCAUGUUGUGUAAAGAAGGCCUUUUUUGCAUGCUUGCUUUGUCAUCUGCUAUUUUACUUCCAUAUUUCAUUGAUGGCCUUAACAGUGACAUGUAUUUUUAUUUUAUUCCCUAGGGAUCGAAAACUUUACAAACUAGGCUUGAAGGGAUUUUAUGUCAAAGAUGAAGGUGACAGUAUAGGGGAAGAUCAAGUAACCACCGAGGAUGAAGAAAAAGACAAGAAACAUAAUUCCUUUGGGACUGCUGAUUUAUCUAACAGUCAUGCUUCUGGAGUGGAAGACAUUGAACUCGAUUCAGAGACUGAACUCAUGAAAUGCAUGGGCUUACCUAUUCAAUUUGGCAAUGCAGCAGCCCAUAAGACAUUGGCACCUGAGAAUAUUAGUAAGAAAAGUAAGAAAGUGAAGAAGAAGAUGAUGAUGAAGAAAAAGAAGAUGCGGCAAAGAGAGAUUUUCACAGUAAUGCAGGAAUCAUUGAAAGAAGAUCAUGAUGAAGAUGACCUCUUUCUUUCCGAUGAUCACUCUUCAAUUAAAAAGGGAUCUGAGAAUGACAAGAGCUGUGAAAAUGGAGACCUUUUACUUGAUGGGUUUCAUAUGAAAGAAAAAUGGGAAAAGUAUUGGAGUGAGUAUGGAGAAGGACUUCUGUGGCAAAGUUGGCAAGAGAAAAAUUGUGAACUUGUGUCUAUUACUGAGCCUUGGAAUAAUCCUGAAGUAAAGGAAAAGUGGGAGCAGCACUAUAAUGAACUAUACUGGUAUUACUGGCAACAGUUUCACUACUGGGCAAGUCAAGGUUGGACUGUUGACCCCACACACAAUAUUGACCUGGAAAAUAGUGCAGGGGAGCUGGAAACCAAGCAGCCAGCAGAAAUGCAGAACAUUGGUGUAGACACUGUUUUCGUAGGAGUGCUAAAUCCUUCUCCAAGUGAUAAUCACUGUAAUAGUGACAUUCUUCCUGAAAUUAGUAAAAUAAAUCUAAACUCUGAAGAAACAGAACGGAUCAAAUUGGAAAAUGCAGAUGAUUAUAAUGGUGAGAGUGGACUGAGCAUAACAAGCAUUGAAAGGUGUUGUCCUUGUGAUACUGCUCAGACUGUGAAAUGUGAUGAGGGAACAAGAGAAAGUAAUGCGUCUUCUGAAAAUGGAUAUUCAGACAAGCCAGUUUCACAGGGGUCAUCUAGAUCUUGUUCAGAUGCCACAGGAGGUAGGGGAUCACACAGUAACAGUGAUGGUGAUGAUGGUGAUGAUGAUGAGCCACCUGAACGCAAACAAGUCAGAUUAAAGAGGAGCCAUGAAUUGGAUCCUGAAGAACAUUCCCAGGCUGAUCCAGAAAAGAUUUGCUGUCUUUUGGGGCUCAAACAUGGCAAAGGACAAAAAUACAGAGACAUUCCUGACUUCAGUGAAAGAAGAGUGAGUCAUCUCAAUAAAAAUAUGAAGUUUAAAUCAAAAUUAUUGGACAUGCACAGAACAGUCAAGACCAAAAGGAAACAUAUAUUUUUUACAGAAGAACCUGAGACAGGGGCAAUUAAAAAGAGCAGUACUUUGAUUAAGGUAGAAAGCUUCUUGAAACAAGUGAAUGAGGCUGCGGAAGAGAUGUCUCAAGACAGAGUUCACCCUCCUUCUUCCAGUAGUGAUUCAGAGGAACAGGAAAACGUUGCUGGCUCACAAAAUAAUUUGGAUUCUCCCCAAAGUGACCUGCCGUUCUCCAGUUCAGAUUCUGGAAAGCGUGGAGGAAACAGCACUGAGGAAAGAGGCGAAGAAAAUCUGGUAGUAGCAACAAGUGACUGGAAGUUCCAGGAGCCCAAGGAAGAGGCAGGAAGAGAAGAUGCACAUCCUUCAGGAAGAGAGUUAGUUCCUAUGGAUAUUCCAAACUACCUGCAGGUGGAAACAGAAGGUGAUGUAAAAACUACGAACAAGAGGAAAAUCAAGAUAAUACUGAAGAAGACAAACAGGUGUGGGCAGCCUCUGCCCCCUGAAAUAGUUGCUGAUCCCGAGUUGGCUAAAUACUGGGCACAGCGCUAUAGACUCUUCUCUCGAUUUGAUGAAGGGAUUCAGUUAGACAGAGAGGGAUGGUUUUCUGUUACGCCUGAGAAGAUUGCAGAGCAUAUUGCGGAUCGUGUAAGUCAGUCCUUCAACUCUGACUUAAUAGCAGAUGCAUUCUGUGGCGUGGGAGGAAACGCUAUUCAGUUUGCCUUGGCAGGGAAGAAAGUAAUCGCAAUCGAUAUUGACCCUGUGAAGAUCAGUCUUGCUCUCAACAACGCAGAAGUCUAUGGAGUAGCAGACAAAAUAGAGUUCAUAUGUGGAGACUUCAUGAAGCUAGCAUCCAGUUUAAAAGCAGAUGUUGUGUUUCUGAGCCCUCCGUGGGGUGGGCCUGAAUAUGCUGCUGCAGAAAUCUUUGAUGUUCAGACUAUGAUUUCUCCCGAUGGAUUUGAAAUUUUCAAGCUGUCGCAAAAGAUUACCAGCAAGAUUGUGUACUUUCUUCCUCGUAAUGCUAACAUAGAUCAGGUAAGUUUUAAUUUGCAGGUUCAGGGGUAGUGCAGUACAGUUGACUUAGGGUGGAAUUCAAUGUUGCGCAUUUGCAGCUUGCCAAAAGGAAUGACACCCCCCCACACACACACACACUCUGUUCUGGGGACUCUCCCCAUACUCACUCAAGCCAUUUGGGGGGGGCAGAGGUGGGGAAAGCCCUGUUGCAAGUGAAAGUCCUUAUGCAAGGCUUCUGCUGACUGAAUUCUGCUCCUGAGCUGCGAACAGACAUUUCACCUCUGCCCAAUGGGCUUAAGUCAAAUCUCUGUCUUUCACCUUCCAUUUCUUCCCACCUCCAUCUAUAAUAUGGCGAUAACACUGGCCUACCUUACACAUUUGUUGUAAGGAGUACUGAGAGCCUAUGUAGAAUGUGUAAAGAUUGAAUAUUAUUGUUAUCAAAUUUUCUCCCUGUAUAACAAGGAUGGGGAAUCAGGUGGCCUCUACCUCUCCAAUCAUUCCUGACCUCUUGCCCAUUGCAGAGUGGAGCUGGCGGGAGUUGGAGUCCAACACCUGGAGGGCUAUGGGUUCUAGAAUACUAAGCUUCUUCUGUAAAUAUGUAUUUUUGUUGGAAAAAAGUAGGCUCUUUGAUAUUCAAUAACCUUAGAAGUUUGGGUGGAAAGGACCAAAGGGGGAAACAUGAUAGAGGUUUCUAGCACAGACAGUAUGGAUAGUGUUAUCAUUCUGUGCUAGAAACCGAGGUCACACUGUGAGAUUGAAUGGCGGAGCAGACAGAGAGGAAAACAUAAUUUACCGGUAUAUCAGUGAGUACACGAAAAGUUAGCAAGGACCGCCAGCUUAGAUAACAUUUUAAAAGGAUUAGGCCAAUCCAUAGGGGCUAGGUCUAUUAAUGACUAUAUAAAUGGAAUCUCUUUGUUCUGAGGCAAUGUAACCCUAAAUCAGGCAUCCCCAAACUGCAGCCCUCCAGAUGUUUUGGCCUACAACUCCCAUGAUCCCUAGCUAACAGGACCUGUGGUCAGGGAAGAUGGGAAUUGCAGUCCAAAACAUCUGGAGGGCCGAAGUUUGGGGAUGCCUGCCCUAAAUACUAGUUGAUGCGGAGCAAAGAACUUAGAGAGCUUUUGCCUUUGUGUUCUUAUGUGAAGGUUUUAUAUUGAUACCUGGUUUGGCGCACUUAGGUGGUGGACCAGGUGUAAUUUUUUGGCAAAGGCCAUAACUAAAUGUUUUGCAGUACUAGGCUGAUGCAGCUGCAACUUUUCCAAUACUAGUAGUUACUUAAAGGUAAAGGUACCCCUGACCGUUAGGUCCAGUCGCGGACGACUCUGGGGUUGCGGCGCUCAUCUUGCUCUAUAGGCCAAUGGAGCCAGCGUUUGUCCGCAGACAGCUUCCGGGUCAUGUGGCCAGCAUGACAAAGCUGCUUCUGGCGAAACCAGAGCAGCGCACGGAAACACCAUUUACCUUCCCGCCGGAGCGGUACCUAUUUAUCUACUUGCACUUUGACGUGCUUUCGAACUGCUAGAUAGGCAGGAGCUGGGACCGAACAACAGGAGCUCACCCCGUCGCAGGGAUUUGAACCUCCGACCUUCUGAUCAGCAAGCCCUAGGCUCUGUGAUUCACUUUCUCACUUUGCACUCACUCUCCUCUUUUUACUUAACGAUUUUUGACAUCUAAGCAUUCUAAUCAUGGUUAAGGAUUUUCCCAAGCCCUGGUGGUUUAGCAUUAAAACCUUGUUUUAGGAAUGUCCUCAAGCAUGGCUAGCAAUGAAAGGCUUGCAGGCUGCACAUCAGAGAUCCUGAACUAUACCUGUUACACUACCUUGUACUGGGGUCUGACAUCACACUUCAAAGGUUUGAGCACCAUUACUUUGCAUUUUCAGUUUUCUUUCAAUAUUUACAGUGCUGUAGAUAUAGCAAUAUACAAACCCCCACAAAGUUUAAUAUAAACAGUUAAUAAUCAAAUCCAGCCUUAAAAUGUGGAAGAUAUAGACACUGCCUGAAGGGGCAAAGCUGUUCAAACUUGAAUUAUUGUCAGUUUCUUUGUACUUCCUCUAGAGGGAGCAGUCAUACCAAAAAGAUACAGAUAGUGCAAGUAAAUUAUGCGUGCUGUGCUUUUAAACUAAGCAAAGAAUGAACUGUUUGGUAUAGGGGUGCUGCUGGCUUUCUUUAUACACUUUUCAGGACAGAGUUUUCAGGUUGUGGGAUACUUGCUUGGCAUGAAAGUAUUUUUGUUUAAAAAGCUCAGAACCACAAAAGCAAAGUGAAGGUAAACCAGGUCAACAGUUGUUGUUUUUGUGGUGUUUGUUAUUAGACAUUAUUAUGUUUGCUCAUGAUGGAGACUUAAUAGCAACUUGCAGUAAUAAAGUGCUACUUCAAAGGCAAUUUAUAUGGAUGUAGACACCUACCCUGGAAUAGGACAGACUUAUUAAAAGUUCAUUGUAUGUAUGUUUGCACAUACACAUCCAGACCAUAAUAAUAAUAAUAAUAAUAAUAAUAAUAAUAAUAAUAAUAAUAAUAAUAAUUUAUUUAUACCCCGCCCAUCUGGCUGGGUUUCCCCAGCCACUCUGGGCGGCUUCCAACAGAAAAAUAAAACACAAUAAUCUAUUAAACAUUAAAAGCCUCCCUGAACAGGGUUGCCUUCAGGUGUCUUCUAAAAGUCUGGUAGUUGUUUUCCUCUUUGACAUCUGUUGGGAGGGCGUUCCACAGGGCAGGCGCCACCACCGAGAAGGCCCUCUGCCUAGUUCCCUGCAACUUGGCAUCUCGCAACAAGGGAAUCACCACAAGGCCCUCGGUGCUGGACCUCAGUGUCCGGGCAGAAUGAUGGAGGUGGAGACGCUCCUUCAGGUGUGCACUGUCAUUUCUGGAACUGAUCUUUCUAGAAACUGAAUGUUUGGGCUUACAAUCUAGGCCAUUGUCUGUUCUUCAGUCACAUUUCUAGGUUUGUUGCAAUAACAAAGUAUGUAAACAGAUACUUAUUCCCUCAGGAUCUUGAGCCUUUUCCCAAGUUUACAUAAAAGUCUGCUGAGAUACUGCAGAUUCCAAAAGGUUCCAAAAAUGUCAAAUCUUACUAAUGUUAACAGAGAUAAAAACUGGUAGCGCAUGAAAAAGCAUAACUUUAAAAUGUCAGUGAUAGCUUGUACAAUCACAUAGGAAAAUGGUCCCAAAUGAGCAGGUGUGUCAAGUUAGCAUGAUGUAAUCACAGGUAAAUGUGCAUAGAAUUCCAUCUUUGUACUGAGGUACCUGUCAAGUUUGGGAUGCUCAGAUAUGUUUUUCCUAAGUAAUCUUUGCUGCACAAACUAGACAGAUCUCAUCACUGAUGGCAUUUGCACAAGCAUAAUGGAUAUCCCUUUCAAAUAUAAACACAGCUUCCACAUCCAAUUCUAUCCUAGGAAGCAGGAAUAUUUAUGUGUGUGUUUUUCCUUUUUCAGAUAUGCUAACUCAAAUUCAAACCAUUGGAGAUGAUAAUGAACAAGUUUGACUAGGUUCAGUAGUCUAUAGGCAGGCACUCUGGAACUGUACAUCUCCAUGUCCUGCAGAUAGAGAACAUGUACACUGAGAACAGAAAGAGUAAUGUGAUGUCUGUGAAAUUUAUUCCAUUAGGCGCAGCCCAGGCCAUGCAGCAAAGAUGGGCAUUUCACAUACAGAUGCUCAAAUUUGUGAGAAGGUCCCAUUGAGCUUUAUAGGACUCAAAUUGUCCAUUUGAGGUUUUGAGAUGAGGGUGUCCUCCAGACCAUUUUGAAAAUUUCCAUGUAGCAACUUUCCAUAAGCAGCUGGUAACGAAGCGGCAUCCAUUUGAAUGACGCUCCCUCAUUCUUUUAAUUGAUGAGGAGAACAGAAAUUCAUUUUCUCUAAGAAUGUUUAUUUUUAUUUUGGGGGGUUGCAUCUCUUAAAUAUAAUCCAAUCUGUUUCUCCCUAAAAGCCUGCUGUGCUGCCUACAUGCACAUGUGUUUUAACAAAACAAGUGUGCAUAGGACAGGAACUGAGUAAAUGCAGUCUCCAGAAGCAGUUAGAUUGUAUUGAGCGUCUUGUGUAAUCCAGUUUUUCCCCUUGUUAACUCUCAGGGUUCAAUGAACUUUAGAGAAAUCCACUUGCAGUAAUAUGGCCAGUCCACACAAGUAGAUCAUGACUCCAGUCAUUUGUACAUAAGCAAAAAUGGAAACUGCUGAGAUAUUUUGGGGAGUCAAGAUAAGUUAGUAACUCCUUAAUGAAUCACAGCACCACAGACAAGAUUCUCCCCUACCUAGCAAGGAGCUCAGGAACUAGCACUGGGAAAUGAGUUUUAGUAAACGUAGGUUUGUCACUUGGGGGGGGGGUUAUAUUCAAUCAAUUAAAUAUGCUUCCUUCCAGUUUACUAUUUUACUACUUAAGUGCUUAUGCUGGCAUGUCAUGAAUUGAUAUUAUAUCCAAAUACAGCCAUGGGAGGAUGCAUUAGCCACAUUCACAUGCCACAUGGUUUGCAAUGCACAAAUGAAUCACAGCUGCUUUCAGUCUCCCUCUGAGUGUUGGGAGAAAACAAACCAUCAUUCUGGUUUCAUUUGUGUUUCGUUUGAACCAGGGUUUGUAGGUUUGUUUCACUCCCAAAUGAUCUGGCUACAGAUUGUGGUUUGUUAGGGCUGAGACAAACCACAGUCCCUGAUUUGGAUGUAGCACUAGGUGAAGAAUGUGAUUUGCUUUCACAUAACCAUAACAGGGAACAGGGCAUUAGACAUGAUUUAUGUAUGCAUGGUAAGCUAUGGUUUGUGCUUCACAGUGGCAUGUGAAUGUGGGGUGGAAUUGGCAUUAAUACAGGUGCCACAUAAUAGCCGGUUUAAAGAUGCCAGUUUAAAGGACUUGUCACCCUCUUUUUGCUAUUAAAGAGGGCCAUAGGUCAGUGGUAAAGCAUCUGCUUUGCAUUCAGAAGCUCCCAGGCCCCAUCCACAGCAGCUCCAGGUAGGGCUGGGAGAGAACAGUCUCUGAAACCCUGAAGAGCCGCUGCCAGUCAGUGUAGACAAUGCUGAGCUAGAUGGAUCUAUAGUCUGACACAGUAUAAGACUGAGCUUCCUGUAUUCCUAAGUGUCAGCAGUCUGGUUCCAUUCUAGUUUGAAUGGAACAUAUCCUCUUUGUACAGGCAUUGCUUGCCCCAAAAUGUCCCCCACUUUUUAACAAAAAGAAACCUGUUUCCCACACACACCAUGGCCUUAUCAAUAAAUAAAGCUCCUUCGCUAUGCCUUCUAGCUGUCCCUGUGUAUGGAACAGGUAGCAUUUAUUUCAGCUUCUUGUGGGCUUGAUUAUUUCCCCAGCAGAGGCUCAUAGUUGCCUAUCAAGGAUCCUGUGGUAGUGGUUUUCUGAAAGAGGUUGGACUAGAUGAGCCUUCCUGCUAACAACAACAACAACAACAACAACAACUUGUUAUUUAUAUGUCACCCAUCUGACUGGGUUCCCCCAGCCACUCUGGACAGCUUCCAGCAAAUUCAAACAUCAAACACAGUAGCUUCCUUAGCUGGGCCAGGAGGAAAAGUUGAAAUAGAACAAAACUUUCUGAACAACAAAUUGAAAACCAUAACUGCAUACUUUGGUGAUCUAAUAAAAAAACAUGCAUCCUG